CCUACGGGUGGCAGCAGUGAGGAAUAUUGGUCAAUGGGCGAGAGUCUGAACCAGCCAAGUCGCGUGAAGGAUGACGGCCCUACGGGUUGUAAACUUCUUUUGUCAGGGAGCAAUUGAGUCCACGUGUGGUCUUAGCGAGAGUACCUGAAGAAAAAGCAUCGGCUAAAUCCGUGCCAGCAGCCGCGGUAAUACGGAGGAUGCGAGCGUUAUCCGGAUUUAUUGGGUUUAAAGGGGGCGUAGGCGGAAUAUCAAGUCAGCGGUAAAAAUUCGGGGCUCAACCCCGUCGUGCCGUUGAAACUGAUGUUCUUGAGUGGGCGAGAAGUAGGCGGAAUGCGUGGUGUAGCGGUGAAAUGCAUAGAUAUCACGCAGAACUCCGAUUGCGAAGGCAGCAUACCGGCGCCCAACUGACGCUGAAGCACGAAAGCGUGGGUAUCGAACAGGAUUAGAUACCCCAGUAGUC
RNAcentral lists this ribosomal RNA (460 nucleotides) under uncultured bacterium. RNAcentral's name for it is "partial 16S ribosomal RNA". It matches the Rfam family "Bacterial small subunit ribosomal RNA", at positions 338 to 795 of the family's 1533-position model. The record is from RNAcentral.